AUCCGAUCAUUGUCAUCCAUAAUUAUGACAGUUUCACUUACAAUCUUUGUCAGUAUAUAGGAGACCUGGGUUGCAACUUUGAGGUGUACCAAAAUGAUGAAUUUACUGUGGAGGAGUUAAAGAAGAAAAAUCCAAGAGGAGUUCUUAUAUCCCCAGGACCAGGUUUGAGGAUUUCCUAUCUUAUGAUUGUUUUAUAAUACACUAUCAUGUUUGUUGAGUGUAGUGUGUUUCCCACUUACAGGUACACCUCAGAAUU
This is a long non-coding RNA of Telopea speciosissima, 256 nucleotides long. RefSeq lists it as uncharacterized. The transcript has 3 exons. NCBI's taxonomy places the organism in Eukaryota, Viridiplantae, Streptophyta, Magnoliopsida, Proteales, Proteaceae. The record is from RefSeq and is a predicted model, not a curated record.